This 1365-nucleotide ribosomal RNA is filed under the name uncultured bacterium. RNAcentral's name for it is "bacterial SSU rRNA". It matches the Rfam family "Bacterial small subunit ribosomal RNA", at positions 28 to 1381 of the family's 1533-position model. The record is from RNAcentral.
GAUUAACGCUGGCGGCGUGCCUAACACAUGCAAGUCGAGCGGCAGCGAGUUUUACACUGAAUUCUGGAAGCUUCUAGUUGAAAGAGAAGAUUUAUUCAAGAAUUUUGUGUAAAAUGUCGGCGAGCGGCGGACGGCUGAGUAACGCGUGGGAACGUACCCCAAAGUGAGGGAUAACGCAUCGAAAGGUGUGCUAAUACCGCAUAUGGUCUUCGGAUUAAAGCCUUCGGGCGCUUUGAGAACGGCCCGCGUAAGAUUAGAUAGUUGGUGGGGUAAUGGCCUACCAAGUCGACGAUCUUUAACUGGUUUGAGAGGAUGAUCAGUCAGACUGGAACUGAGACACGGUCCAGACUCCUACGGGAGGCAGCAGUGAGGAAUCUUCCACAAUGGGCGAAAGCCUGAUGGAGCAACGCCGCGUGCAGGAUGAAGGCCUUCGGGUUGUAAACUGCUUUUAUAAGUGAGGAUUAUGACAGUAACUUAUGAAUAAGGAUCGGCUAACUACGUGCCAGCAGCCGCGGUCAUACGUAGGAUCCGAGCGUUAUCCGGAGUGACUGGGCGUAAAGAGUUGCGUAGGUGGUUCAAUAAGCGAAUAGUGAAAGCUGGUGGCUCAACCAUUCAGACUAUUAUUCGAACUGUUGAACUCGAGAGCAGAAGAGGUAGCUGGAAUUUCUAGUGUAGGAGUGAAAUCCGUAGAUAUUAGAAGGAACACCGAUGGCGUAGGCAGGCUACUGGGCUGUUUCUGACACUGAGGCACGAAAGCGUGGGGAGCGAACCGGAUUAGAUACCCGGGUAGUCCACGCCGUAAACGAUGGAUACUAGCUGUUUGGGGUAUCGACCCCCUGAGUAGCGAAGCUAACGCGUUAAGUAUCCCGCCUGUGGAGUACGAUCGCAAGAUUAAAACAUAAAGGAAUUGACGGGGACCCGCACAAGCGGUGGAUCAUGUUCUUUAAUUCGAUGAUAACCGAUAAACCUUACCAGGUCUUGACAUCCUUGGAAUCUUUCAGAAAUGAGAGAGUGCUUUUUAAGAGCCAAGUGACAGGUGAUGCAUGGCCGUCGUCAGCUCGUGUCGUGAGAUGUUUGGUUAAGUCCAUCAACGAGCGCAACCCUUGUCAGUAGUUGUAUUUUUCUACUGAGACUGCCCCGGUAACGGGGAGGAAGGAGGGGAUGACGUCAGGUCAGUAUUUCCCUUACGUCCUGGGCUAGAAACGUGAUACAAUGGCUAGUACAAUGCGCAGCGAAGCCGCGAGGUGAAGCAAAUCGCAUCAAAGCUAGUCCCAGUUCGGAUUGUAGGCUGAAACUCGCCUGCAUGAAGUCGGAAUCGCUAGUAAUCGCAGAUCAGCAUGCUGCGGUGAAUACGUUCCCGGGUCU